RNAcentral lists this ribosomal RNA (816 nucleotides) under uncultured bacterium. RNAcentral's name for it is "bacterial SSU rRNA". It matches the Rfam family "Bacterial small subunit ribosomal RNA", at positions 8 to 817 of the family's 1533-position model. The record is from RNAcentral.
AGAGUUUGAUCCUGGCUCAGGACGAACGCUGGCGGCGGGCUUAACACAUGCAAGUUGAAGGAGAAGCCCUGACUUCGGUUGGGGUGGAGACUGGCGCACGGGUGAGUAACGCGUAGACAACCUGCCUGGACCUGGGGGAUAACUCCGCGAAAGCGGGGCUAAUACCGCAUAAUGCAGCGGGGCCGCAUGGCCACAGUUGUUAAAGGUUUAGACCGGGUGCAGAUGGGUCUGCGUGCUAUUAGUUAGUUGGUAGGGUAACGGCCUACCAAGGCGAUGAUAGCUAGGGGGUCUGAGAGGAUGAUCCCCCACACUGGGACUGAGACACGGCCCAGACUCCUACGGGAGGCAGCAGUGAGGAAUCUUGCGCAAUGGAGGAAACUCUGACGCAGCCACGCCGCGUGCCGGAAGACGGCCCUAUGGGUUGUAAACGGCUUUUGGUCGGGAAGAAUCUGGGCCUUUCGAGGUCCACUGACGGUACCGAUUGAAUAAGCACCGGCUAACUCCGUGCCAGCAGCCGCGGUAAUACGGAGGGUGCAAGCGUUGUCCGGAAUCAUUGGGUGUAAAGGGUGCGCAGGCUGGCGCCUAAGUCGGAGGUGAAAUCUUACCGCUUAACGGUAAAAUGGCCCCCGAUACUGGGCGUCUUGAAUCUGACAGAGGUCGGUGGAAUUCGUGGUGUAGCGGUGAAAUGCAUAGAUAUCACGAAGAACAUCAGUGGCGAAAGCGGCCGGCUGGGUCAGUAUUGACGCUGAGCACGAGAGCGUGGGGAGCGAACAGGAUUAGAUGCCCUGGUAGUCCACGCUGUAAACGAUGUAUGCU